CGCUCUUCUGCCCCACAGUCAACUUAAACUGUGCUGCAGACUCACUGACAAAGGUCAAAGCAAGAGUCGACUGCAACCAAGUAUUUGAUGAAGGUCUCCACUGACCUUCAGAAGAAUUUCAAAGGCACUGUUUUUAUGCUAUGCUAAGGUACGAUGUACCUACCCACAGUGCAGCCUGGAACAGGCACCAAGUUACUGUCCCACCAAAAUAGCAUUCUGAUACAGGUCAAAACCCUGUCUCAGAGCGGACUUGGAACCCCCAAAGGCCAACCCAGCAUCUCGAUGAAGUGAACCACCUCACGGCUGUAACUAAGAACCAGUUCAUCUAAUCCUUGCGGUUCCGCAAGCACGGGACAGGUCUCACUGGGCUCCCACCCUCCUGCAACUUCUCAAGGCGAAUUAGUAUGAAGGAAUCUCAGAGCAGCAAGGCCGUUCGUCGAUAGCGCAGUCUCGACCCUACUCACCAGCCGGUUGAAGGACUCCUCGGAGUGCAUCCUGGCUUGUCUUGAGCCUUUUUAAAUGAGAUGCUCAGAACGGAACGGUGACCUGGUGCUGAGAAGAAUAUCACAAUGAAACAAAGUGCCAAGAAGAGACAGCAUCCGUCGGUGAUCAGUACCAAAGAGAGAAGAGGAGGCGUGGCCAACUGUCUACUAUACAGAACACUACCCGGAAUAAAAUUUGUCUCCAUUACAAAUGAAGUGGAACAGAAGAUACAGUAAAUAUGAUCUGAAAGUCUCCCAAGACAUUGUUUGGCAUCACCUACAUAAAAUAUCCUUGUAGCGAUUGGGGGGUGGGGGCAGAGAUGCCUGAAUGAUGAACAGGGAAUCACUCAGAAAUUCAGACAUUCCUCGUCCUCGCUCCGCGCAUUGGGCAUCAUUUGGUAUCAUUCAGGGAGAAGAGAGAGAUUCACUUUCCCAAAGUGAGUACAUGAGAGGCAGUCUUCUGGGAAAGCCAGGCGGAUGGGAACUCAACCAGCAGGGAUGCUUACAGCACUUAGCCGAACUCGAACUCACAAAGUCUUCCUCUCUACUGUAUUCACAGGCAACAGGACUCUCUGCCUGGAACACCCAAAAACAAAUCAGCACAUUGUUAGAAGGAAUUAGUUCAGCAAGGCGUCCAAAUACAAGAUCAAUUUAUAAAAUCCAACCGUUUACAUCAGCAGCAAAUAAGCAGGAAGGAGACAGUGAGACACGUCUCAUACUCACAGCAUCCGGGGUUAACUAACAACUUUUCAGAACUUUAUGAAGAAGCUCUUAAAACUCUAUUAAAGGACAUUUAAAAAAAAAUAGACUGAACAGAUGAAGAACUAGGCCAUGGCCGGGGUGGCUUCACACUGUAAAAAUGUCAAGCUAAUCUCUAGACUCAGUGUUUGAUUAUAACUAAAAUUUUAAGGUGUUCAAUAAACAUAAAAUAUGUAAGGACAAAUAUAACUUUAAAUAGGACAAAUGUCUAAAAGCAAGACCAAAAGAAGGAGAUUUGCUAUACUAGAGAUUAUGUCUUUACUAUAUCAUAAUAAAAAUAAUUGGAGGCUGCUCUAGAAAUAAACAGAAAAAUGACCUAGAAGGUAGGGCUCUGAAGGAGAGCCCUGGAUAAGCAUGUCCUUGGUAUACAUAAAAGUGAUACAACAGCCAAUGAUUUAAAAAAUAUAUAUGAAUUAUAUAUAGGACAGAGUUAGUCAAACAGUCUUAUUUAAUAAUGGAAACAAAAAGGAAAAGAAAGUGAGGGAGAUGCUGGAAAUCUGCUGUAAGAAUGUAUUCCUAAUCACAACUAGAGCACUGGGCUCCUGGGGGCACAAGUGAACUUGUUAUGCUGGAGGGCCUGGGGUCAGUGACAGAGAUGAUGGAGGAAAUGCCGUAAAACAACUUCAUCUGUUCCUAUCAGGAAAUAGGACUAACAAAGAACCAUGCACAUUUGUAAAUCCUUACAAAAUUCCUCCACUGAGUGGCCACAGGUAACCUCCAAUAAAAAGAAGUGGAGAGACAGCUCAGCAGUCAAAAGUGCAUUUCUUGCAGAAGACCUGAGUUUGGUCCCUGCAUCCAAGAAAGACCAGCUUACAGCCGCCUAUAACUCUAGCUCCAUCAGAUCCAAUGCCCUCUUCUGGCCUCGGUGGGUACUGCACCAUGCAUAUACCCAAAUGCAGAUACACACUUCAAGAUACUUUUUUAAAAAGAAAAAUGUAAAGAUGUGACAAACUGAAAGAAGUUUGUGACAUGUAUAAACAUAGCUAGGAAUUAGUACCUAAAGCAACAAAAAUCAGUCGAAAAACUAACAAGAAAAACGAGGAAAGGGUAACAGUAGACAGUUGACAGUGAUGUGUCUUGGUUUCCUUCCCUGUUGCUGUGACAAAAUACUUUGACAAACACAACUUAAGAGGGAAAGGAGUUAUUUUAGCUCACAAUUCAAAGAUCCAUCAUCCCAGGGAAGUCAAGGCAACAGAGCUUGAAGCACCUGGUCACAUGACAUCCCAGUAAGGAAAUAAGAGAUGAAUGCUGGCGCUAGCUCCCUUUCUCUCUGCCUGGAGAAUGGCUCUGCCCACAAGUAGGUAGGCUCUCCCACAUCAGUUAGUGUCUUCAAGAUAGGCAUGCCCUGUAGGCAUCUCAUAGGCAUACCCAGAGACCUAGCCAAGCAAUUCAAGAUGCUAUAGGAUAGAAAAUUAACAUGGUGGCUGAAAAAGGCCAUCUUAAGAUUGGGCUGUAGGCAAGCCUGAAGAGCAUUUUUUUUAUUGAUAAUUUAUGUGGGAGGGGCCCAUAUCACCAUGGUCAGUUCCACCCCUCAGCUGGUGGCCCUGGGUUCUAUAAGAAAGCAGGCUGAGCCAAUGAUGAGGUGUGAGCCAGGAAGCA
This is a long non-coding RNA of Mus caroli (Ryukyu mouse), 2840 nucleotides long. RefSeq lists it as uncharacterized. NCBI's taxonomy places the organism in Eukaryota, Metazoa, Chordata, Mammalia, Rodentia, Muridae. The record is from RefSeq and is a predicted model, not a curated record.